Oncorhynchus tshawytscha (Chinook salmon) is the source of this 331-nucleotide long non-coding RNA. Lineage: Eukaryota; Metazoa; Chordata; Actinopteri; Salmoniformes; Salmonidae. The record is from Ensembl.
CUGUCUCUGACUGUCUGACUGUCUGUCUGUCUCUCUGUGUCUGUCUGUCUGUCUCUGACUGUCUGUGUCUAUCUCUGUCUGUCUGACUGUCUGUCUGACUGACUGUAAUGUUCUGUUGCCCCGUCAGGCCCACUGUAAUGUUCUGGUCCCCCGUCAGGCCCACUGUAAUAUUCUGUUGCCCCGUCAGGCCCACUGUAAUGUUCUGUUCCCCCGUCAGGCCCACUGUAAUGUUCUGUUGCCCCGUCAGGCCCACUGUAAUGUUCUGUUGCCCCGUCAGGCCCACUGUAAUGUUCUGUUGCCCCGUCAGGCCCACUGUAAUGUUCUGUUCCCC